AGUCAUAUGCUUGUCUCAAAGAUUAAGCCAUGCAUGUCUCAGUACAAGCCAAAUUAAGGUGAAACCGCGAAAGGCUCAUUAAAUCAGUUAUGGUUCCUUAGAUCGUACCCACACUUACUUGGAUAACUGUGGUAAUUCUAGAGUUAAUACAUGCAAAUAGAGCUCCUACCGGAGACGGAAGGAGCGCUUUUAUUAGAUCAAAACCAAUCGGUGACGCUCGUCGUUACCGUACUCCUUGGUGACUCUGAAUAACUUGUUGCUGAUCGCACGGUCUAGUACCGGCGACGCAUCUUUCAAAUGUCUGCCUUAUCAACUGUCGAUGGUAGGUUCUGCGCCUACCAUGGUUGUAACGGGUAACGGGGAAUCAGGGUUCGAUUCCGGAGAGGGAGCCUGAGAAACGGCUACCACAUCCAAGGAAGGCAGCAGGCGCGCAAAUUACCCACUCCCGGCACGGGGAGGUAGUGACGAAAAAUAACGAUACGGGACUCAUCCGAGGCCCCGUAAUCGGAAUGAGUACACUCUAAACCCUUUAACGAGGAUCAAUUGGAGGGCCAGUCUGGUGCCAGCAGCCGCGGUAAUUCCAGCUCCAAUAGCGUAU
Molecule: ribosomal RNA, 598 nt
Filed under: Limnebius sp. 2 IR-2015
Lineage: Eukaryota; Metazoa; Arthropoda; Insecta; Coleoptera; Hydraenidae
Description: SSU rRNA
Rfam family: Eukaryotic small subunit ribosomal RNA
Source: RNAcentral